This 577-nucleotide ribosomal RNA is filed under the name vouchered mycorrhizae (Genea). Its description in RNAcentral is "eukaryotic LSU rRNA". It matches the Rfam family "Eukaryotic large subunit ribosomal RNA", at positions 54 to 637 of the family's 3401-position model. Lineage: Eukaryota; Fungi; Ascomycota; Pezizomycetes; Pezizales; Pyronemataceae. The record is from RNAcentral.
AGGAACAGAAACCAACCGGGAUUGCCUCAGUAACUGCGAGUGAAGUGGCAAAAGCUCAAAAUUGAAAUCCGGUACCUCUGGUGCCUGAGUUGUAAUUUGGAGAGACAAAUUUGGUUGACGGUGCCGGCCUAGGUUCCUUUGAACAGGACAACACAGAGGGUGAGAAUCCCGUGCCUGGCUGGAUGACUGUCACGUUUCUAGAUUGUCUUCGACGAGUCGAGUUGUUUGGGAAUGCAGCUCAAAAUGGGUGGUAAAUGUCAUCUAAAGCUAAAUAUUGGCGAGAGACCGAUAGCGCACAAGUAGAGUGAUCGAAAGAUGAAAAGCACUUUGAAAAGAGAGUCAAAAAGUACGUGAAAUUGCUGAAAGGGAAGCGCUUGAGACCAGACUCGAACCGUGGUGAUCAGCCGUGCUUCUGCGCGGUGUCAAUUGCCACGGUUCGGGCCAGCAUCGGUUCUGGCGGUCGGAUAAAAGGUGGAGGAAUGUAGCUUCCCUCGGGUAGUGUUAUUAGCCCCCACCACAAUGCGGCCAGCCGGGACCGAGGACCGCGCGGGCUUCCGCUAGGAUGNUGGCGUANUGG